UACGAAGGGGGCUAGCGUUGCUCGGAUUGACUGGGCGUAAAGGGCGCGUAGGCGGUUCGUACAGUCAGACGUGAAAUUCCUGGGCUCAACCUGGGGGCUGCGUUUGAUACGUGCGGGCUUGAGUUCGGAAGAGGGUCGUGGAAUUCCCAGUGUAGAGGUGAAAUUCGUAGAUAUUGGGAAGAACACCGGUGGCGAAGGCGGCGACCUGGUCCGAUACUGACGCUGAGGCGCGAAAGCGUGGGGAGCAAACGGG
Molecule: ribosomal RNA, 253 nt
Filed under: uncultured bacterium
Lineage: Bacteria
Description: partial 16S ribosomal RNA
Rfam family: Bacterial small subunit ribosomal RNA
Source: RNAcentral